Molecule: ribosomal RNA, 486 nt
Filed under: uncultured bacterium
Lineage: Bacteria
Description: partial 16S ribosomal RNA
Rfam family: Bacterial small subunit ribosomal RNA
Source: RNAcentral
GAUGAACGCUGGCGGCGUGCCUAAUACAUGCAAGUCGAACGCUGGAAAUCUAGCUUGCUAGAUUGAAGGAGUGGCGAACGGGUGAGUAAUACAUAAGCAACCUACCCACGAAGACUGGGAUAAUCUCUGGAAACGGGGACUAAUACCGGAUAGGUAAUCGGAAGGCAUCUUCUGAUUAUUAAAGGUUAAAAACACUGGUGGAUGGGCUUAUGGCGCAUUAGUUAGUUGGUGAGGUAACGGCCCACCAAGACGAUGAUGCGUAGCCGGCCUGAGAGGGUGAACGGCCACAUUGGGACUGAGACACGGCCCAGACUCCUACGGGAGGCAGCAGUAGGGAAUUUUCGGGAAUGGGGGAAACCCUGACCGAGCAACGCCGCGUGAGUGAUGACGGCCUUCGGGUUGUAAAGCUCUGUUGUAAGGGAAGAACGGUAGAUAGAGAAUAUCUAAAUGACGGUACCUUACCAGAAAGCCACGGCUAACUACGUG